Molecule: small RNA, 381 nt
Filed under: Arabidopsis thaliana (thale cress)
Lineage: Eukaryota; Viridiplantae; Streptophyta; Magnoliopsida; Brassicales; Brassicaceae
Description: ATSL254270
Source: RNAcentral
UUUAUAAAUCUUAUGUUUACAAUAUCAGUGAACAACUGUGAAGAUUUUAUUUUUUUGUUUGAAUAUGUGGAAGUUCAAAUCCAAAGAUUCUACAUUUUUUUUAGAGGCGGGACCCAUACCUAAUUAAAUUUAUCUAUUUUUGGAGAAAAUAUCCCUCCCACCUCGAAUCAGCACAUCUACCUAGGAGAUUUACCAUUGGGCCAACAGCUCGUUGGUAACAACUAUGAAGAUUAGUGAUGCUGAUUGAGGUAAAAGAAGUUAAAGAUUUCAUUUGAUGUCUGAUACAAAUUUCAAAGUCUUCGAAACCCUCUAGGAGUUCGCGUUUUUGGUUGCCGUGAGUUUUCUUUUUCUAUUUUUGUAGUUUCCUAGCAAGUGAGUGGU